Molecule: ribosomal RNA, 866 nt
Filed under: uncultured archaeon
Lineage: Archaea
Description: bacterial SSU rRNA
Rfam family: Archaeal small subunit ribosomal RNA
Source: RNAcentral
CUGCUAUCGGAUUGAUACUAAGCCAUGCGAGUCAUUGUAGCAAUACAAGGCAUACGGCUCAGUAACGCGUAGUCAACCUAACCUAUGGACGGGAAUAACCUCGGGAAACUGAGAAUAAUGCCCGAUAGAACAUUAUGCCUGGAAUGGUUUAUGUUCCAAAUGAUUUAUCGCCGUAGGAUGGGACUGCGGCCUAUCAGUUUGUUGGUGAGGUAAUGGCCCACCAAGACUAUUACAGGUACGGGCUCUGAGAGGAGUAGCCCGGAGAUGGGUACUGAGACACGGACCCAGGCCCUAUGGGGCGCAGCAGGCGAGAAAACUUUGCAAUGUGCGAAAGCACGACAAGGUUAAUCCGAGUGGUUUCUGCUAAAGGAACCUUUUGUCAGUCCUAGAAACACUGAUGAAUAAGGGGUGGGCAAGUUCUGGUGUCAGCCGCCGCGGUAAAACCAGCACCUCAAGUGGUCAGGAUGAUUAUUGGGCCUAAAGCAUCCGUAGCCGGCUCUGUAAGUUUUCGGUUAAAUCUGUACGCUCAACGUACAGGCUGCCGGGAAUACUGCAAAGCUAGGGAGUGGGAGAGGUAGACGGUACUCGGUAGGAAGGGGUAAAAUCCUUUGAUCUAUUGAUGACCACCUGUGGCGAAGGCGGUCUACCAGAACACGUCCGACGGUGAGGGAUGAAAGCUGGGGGAGCAAACCGGAUUAGAUACCCGGGUAGUCCCAGCUGUAAACCAUGCAAACUCAGUGAUGCAUUGGCUUGUGGCCAAUGCAGUGCUGCAGGGAAGCCGUUAAGUUUGCCGCCUGGAAGUACGUACGCAAGUAUGAAACUUAAAGGAAUUGGCGGGGGAGCACCACAAGGGGUGAAGCCUGCGG